UUUAGAGUAAAGCUACAGAGAAGCCACUGUAGCAGUGCACACAAUGCACUCACUACGUGGCUUCUUCCUAAAAUUGUUCUUUUUAAAAAAAAAAAACGUCGUUUUGACCUCGGUUCAUUUUCUCUUUCCCCAUUUGAAAUUUCCCCAGCAAAAUACAUCCUCCCUCGCCCUCGUCUCGUCACCUUCCUCUGCCCAGAGCCACCCGGCGACACCGUCUCUCUAUUCAGCACCACCCCUGAAGCUCAUUCGUCUGCCCAGCGCCACCCUUCCCUGCAAACUCAUUCCACACAAACCAGGCUCUUCGGUACUUUCGCGAACACGAAGAAAGAAAUGGAUAUGAGAAUGGUUCUCCUGUCUCACCCUCAACUCUCUCUAACUCUUUGCCCUCGAUUUCUUCGCCUCUACUUUACUUCAAUACCCUAAUCUCCCUUUAUCCGAGUUUCUUAUCUUCGUUGUUCGAUCCCCAAUUUUGAACUGCAAUUUCAGGUAUAGCGCUUUCUCGAUUUCUCUCUCUAACAUAUUUAAAUCCUUUAUUUUAAAUCGUAUUUGAUACUCCAACUCCAUCUCCGUUUUCAAGUUCUCAUUUUCCCUUCUUUUCUUGGCUCCCAAACACGGGUAGUUUUUCAUUAAAACUUCCUGUUAUUUUUCUGGAGAUUCAUUGGUCUCUCUAGUAUAUUUAUGCAUAACAACCUCUUUAAAUGAUUUGAGUUAUGUACUGUUGAUUUUCUUUGCUUUUGUAUUUUACCGUUUGAUACUUCAGUUGAGUGCUGCAUAAUUUGGCGCUCUUCAAUAAUGAUAGCUUGGGGAUUUUCAUCCUUUUGGUUUUUUAUUUUUAUAUUCGUUGAGAUAAUAUGGUAUUCUUUCCUUCUUGUUUAUCACAAUGCUUACGAAAGAAAUGAGUUUAAUUUGUUUUGUUUUUUUUGUGCUUUUAAUCUACCAUGUUAUCAUAGAAUCCCUGUCUGUGUAUUUUCUACUCACUGGCAUAGAUUUAGGACACCAGCUGAGACAUUAUUUUCCAUAUGGUAGUGGGAAAUGUUUAUAAAUGCCUGGAAAUGUGAGAUGAUCAAGUGGUUUAAAGAGCCAAUUUAAGGGUUUAAAGACUCUUCUAUUAAUUUGUAAGCAAUAUGGGGCUAAUGCGUGCUCUUUGGGUGUUGAUGGGUUAAUAUAAACUGGCUAGUGCAUGGGUGUUGUGGGCGAGUUCUUUGAAAUUUUUUUCAAUACAAUUCGAGUUCUUGCAUGCAAAAGCUGUGAAUGUUCCAUGUACUUGUGCAUCUAGGAAGCUAAACGCAUCUGACAAUUUAUCAUGGCAUUCACAAUAUUUGAGGUGCUUAUAAUACUUUCAGCCUGUUUUAUUGAUUAGCUCUUUGAAAUUGGAGCUGGGGUCUGUGGCAUGAUGAUGGUUGGUGCUUGAUUGACUUGCCUGGAUGUUGUUGCUUGGUUGGGUUUCUCUGGGCAAUGGGAGCCGUCUAUAGAAACAACAGGAUGAUAGAAGUAGUGGCCCUGUUCAGCUUUCUAAGGUUCUCAUCAGACUGUAAUACUUGUGUUUGCUGUCACAAGCUAACAUGCAAAUGUUAGCUUAAGAAGUGCAUGACACAAAUUCAUUAGCGACUUCCAUAGGAAGUGAAUCACAAUACAAAGAGGCCCCUACUGAUAUGCAUGGUGGACACAGAAUAGAAGGGACUCAACCUAGUACAAACAAAUUGUGAUCUUUUGUGUAGUGUAUGAACAAGUGAACAAGUUCUGAUGCGUGUAAUUCUUUGUGAUGGAAUGCUCUCUUGUAAUAAGUAUUCUGACACAAUGUUAUUUGUGAUGGAAUCUUAUCUUGUAAUAAGUAUUCGAUACAAUAUUAUUUGUGAUGAAAUGCUUUCUUGUGAUCCUUUCGUGUAAUGCUGAUGUGUAAUUUUUUUU
Long non-coding RNA from Carya illinoinensis, 1908 nucleotides. RefSeq lists it as uncharacterized. The record is from RefSeq and is a predicted model, not a curated record. NCBI's taxonomy places the organism in Eukaryota, Viridiplantae, Streptophyta, Magnoliopsida, Fagales, Juglandaceae. The transcript is spliced from 2 exons.